Molecule: ribosomal RNA, 558 nt
Filed under: uncultured bacterium
Lineage: Bacteria
Description: partial 16S ribosomal RNA
Rfam family: Bacterial small subunit ribosomal RNA
Source: RNAcentral
UGGGGAAUAUUGCACAAUGGGCGGAAGCCUGAUGCAGCAACGCCGCGUGAGUGAUGAAGGCCUUCGGGUUGUAAAGCUCUGUCUUUUGGGACGAUAAUGACGGUACCAAAGGAGGAAGCCACGGCUAACUACGUGCCAGCAGCCGCGGUAAUACGUAGGUGGCAAGCGUUGUCCGGAUUUACUGGGCGUAAAGGAUGCGUAGGCGGAUUUUUAAGUGAGAUGUGAAAUACCCGGGCUUAACUUGGGUGCUGCACUUCAAACUGGGGAAAUCUAGAGUGCGGGAGAGGAGAAUGGAAUUCCUAGUGUAGCGGUGAAAUGCGUAGAGAUUAGGAAGAACACCAGUGGCGAAGGCGAUUCUCUGGACCGUAACUGACGCUGAGGCAUGAAAGCGUGGGUAGCAAACAGGAUUAGAUACCCUGGUAGUCCACGCCGUAAACGAUGAGUACUAGGUGUAGGAGGUAUCGACCCCUUCUGUGCCGCAGUUAACACAAUAAGUACUCCGCCUGGGAAGUACGAUCGCAAGAUUAAAACUUAAAUGAAUUGACGGGGUCAUAGCUG